CUUACAUGAUUAGUCGUGUUUGCAAACUCUCCGUCAAGUCGGUAUUCUUUCAUGGUCCACCUUCCCAUGCCAUUGAAGCCAUUCUUAGCGACAAAACUGAAACUUCGCUUAGACCCAUAGUGUAUUGUUUUGCUAUCAUCAUAAAGCUCUUCAUCCUUUUAACUUGACACCAGGUGGCAACUCCCUAUAUAGCUUCUGCACCAGCACUGAUCUGAUGAUGAAUCUUGUUGUUGUGUCGAUAAUGAGUGCUCAAAAGAUCACUGGACUUGAAACUAACCGAGAUCACUGGUGAGGGCUACGACGCCGAUGAUGCUCAAAAGAGUCAAUGCACGCGACGUGUUUGAUUAUGAUUCCGACUUGUACACCAGGAUGGUUAGGUACCCACUUGAAGUGCUGGCGAUUUUCGACAUUGUUUUGAUGAACAUGGUGGGACGAAUUAACCCUUUGUUUGAAAAGCACAUUCAAACUCGGUUUUUCAAUCUCAAGAGCUCCACUUCAGGGAGAAAUCUUAACCCAUCUGAUGUUGAGGUUACUACCCAGAUCCUGUUGUUACAAAUAGAGAGCAAAUAAACUGAACCCAAGAUAUGCUUGAAGGAAGAGUGUCAAGCUAGGGACUCCAUGACACUGGUUCACAACCGAUGCAGAUGAUCUCUCUGCUAUGGUUGGAAUUGAAGGAUGAUACAUCUUAAUGAAAAGAGAUCAUGGACUUGGAGAUUAUUUACCUUCCAAAUUGAUCCAUCUAUGAAUUUUGCACUUAACACAUAUGAUUUAGUGGGAUCUCUACCUGGUGGCAACAAUAAUUUAUAGCUUGGGGAUGCUAUUUUUACUAUGAAAUGGGUUACUUGAAGAUUUGCAAGUAACAUUUUGGUUUUGGUUUAGAUUUAUUCAGUUGAAUAGAUUUUGGCAUGGUUUGGAUUG
This is an RNA transcript of Quercus lobata, 918 nucleotides long. It is a transcript of the gene named DNA replication licensing factor MCM4-like, with no coding region annotated. The record is from RefSeq and is a predicted model, not a curated record. NCBI's taxonomy places the organism in Eukaryota, Viridiplantae, Streptophyta, Magnoliopsida, Fagales, Fagaceae. The transcript has 4 exons.